GACGUAGGAGGCGAGCGUUAUCCGGAUUCACUGGGCGUAAAGCGCAUGUAGGCGGAUGUCUAAGUCGUGUGUUAAAGCCCCUGGCUCAACUGGGGGAGGUCAUGCGAGACUGGAUGACUUGAGGGCAACAGAGGCACGUGGAAGUCCCGGUGUAGCGGUGGAAUGCGUAGAGAUCGGGAAGAACACCCGUGGCGAAGGCGGCGUGCUGGGUUGCAACUGACGCUGAGAUGCGAAAGUGUGGGGAGCAAACGGG
RNAcentral lists this ribosomal RNA (253 nucleotides) under uncultured bacterium. RNAcentral describes it as "partial 16S ribosomal RNA". It matches the Rfam family "Bacterial small subunit ribosomal RNA", at positions 524 to 776 of the family's 1533-position model. The record is from RNAcentral.